GAUUAACGCUGGCGGCGUGCAUAACACAUUCAAGUCGAACGGAGAAGAGUGCUUCGGUACUCUUCUUAGUGGCGGACGGGUGGGUAACGCGUGAGUAAUCUACCUUCCAGUGCGGAAUAACAACCGGAAACAGUUGCUAAUACCGCAUGAAAUGGCAGCAUCGCAUGGUGCAACCAUCAAAGAUUUAUCGCUGGAAGAUGAGCUUGCGUCCGAUUAGAUAGUUGGCGGAGUAACAGCCCACCAAGUCGACGAUCGGUAGCCGGACUGAGAGGAUGAUCAGCCACACUGGAACUGAGACACGGUCCAG
RNAcentral lists this ribosomal RNA (307 nucleotides) under uncultured Ruminococcus sp. Its description in RNAcentral is "bacterial SSU rRNA". It matches the Rfam family "Bacterial small subunit ribosomal RNA", at positions 28 to 334 of the family's 1533-position model. The record is from RNAcentral. Lineage: Bacteria; Bacillati; Bacillota; Clostridia; Eubacteriales; Oscillospiraceae.